UACGGAGGGUGCGAGCGUUGUCCGGAAUCACUGGGCGUAAAGGGCGCGUAGGCGGCCACCGCAAGUCGACUGUGAAAUCUCCGGGCUUAACCCGGAAAGGUCAGCCGAUACUGCGGGGCUAGAGUGCAGAAGGGGCAACUGGAAUUCUCGGUGUAGCGGUGAAAUGCGCAGAUAUCGGGAGGAACACCAGUAGCGAAGGCGACACUCUGGGCCGGUACUGACGCUGAGGAGCGAAAGCGUGGGAUCAACAGG
Molecule: ribosomal RNA, 252 nt
Filed under: uncultured bacterium
Lineage: Bacteria
Description: partial 16S ribosomal RNA
Rfam family: Bacterial small subunit ribosomal RNA
Source: RNAcentral